Molecule: long non-coding RNA, 361 nt
Organism: Asparagus officinalis (garden asparagus)
Lineage: Eukaryota; Viridiplantae; Streptophyta; Magnoliopsida; Asparagales; Asparagaceae
Exons: 2
Source: RefSeq, a predicted model, not a curated record
UGGUGACAAAGAUGGUAGAAUUCUUGUGACAUCAACACGGUAAUGCAUUAAAGAAAUUGGGAUUGAACAUUCCAUGACAGAGAACUGAACCCCAUGGUUGUUGGUUGGAUUGAGAUCUAUGAAGGCCUAACCUUUUUUACAGUGAGGGCCUCUGGUCACCAAGUGCAAACAAAUAUUCCUGGUCAUGUUCCAAAAAGAUUUCUAGCCGAUGAUAAGUUGUUGUCAGCACCCUAUUGAUUGAUCUAUUAGAUUCAGAGUAAAGAUAAAAUCAAGAUUGCAUAAGAGAAUAUAUAAUGUAAAAUCCAAAAAAAUUUGUAUCAUGUUUUAUGGAGAAUAUAUCUCUUAUGAUUUAUGGUGAUCA